CGCAGGAUAGAGUAACUGGAAACUCAUCAGGCUCAUAAUCUGAAGAUUGUAGGUUCAAAUCCUACUCCUGCAU
This 73-nucleotide transfer RNA is filed under the name Nephroselmis olivacea. RNAcentral describes it as "tRNA-Met". It matches the Rfam family "tRNA". From Rfam's summary of the family: Transfer RNA (tRNA) molecules are approximately 80 nucleotides in length. Their secondary structure includes four short double-helical elements and three loops (D, anti-codon, and T loops). The record is from RNAcentral. Lineage: Eukaryota; Viridiplantae; Chlorophyta; Nephroselmidophyceae; Nephroselmidales; Nephroselmidaceae.